RNAcentral lists this ribosomal RNA (334 nucleotides) under uncultured eukaryote. RNAcentral's name for it is "partial 18S ribosomal RNA". It matches the Rfam family "Eukaryotic small subunit ribosomal RNA", at positions 1470 to 1796 of the family's 1831-position model. The record is from RNAcentral.
CCCUUAGAUGUCCGGGGCCGCACGCGCGCUACACUGAAGGAAUCGGCGUGGCUUUCUCCCUGACCCGAAAGGGUUGGGAAACCCGUUGAAUCUCCUUCGUGAUAGGGAUUGGGGCUUGAAAUUGUUCCCCAUGAACGAGGAAUUCCCAGUAAGCGCGAGUCAUAAGCUCGCGUUGAUUACGUCCCUGCCCUUUGUACACACCGCCCGUCGCUACUACCGAUUGAACGGUUUAGUGAGGGCCUCGGAUUGGUCUCGGUCCGCUCUUUACCGGGCGGCGCCGUUGGUCGAGAAGACGCUCGAACUUGAUCGUUUAGAGGAAGUAAAAGUCGUAACA